GCUUUCUGGGCAAGGUCUCAUCGCAGAUCAUCUUCAAGUUCCAGUUCUCAGUGUUAAAGCUGCCAUACAUUUGGCACUCAGUAUGUGUCUGCUGAACAAAAUGAAAUGACUAACAAUGCAGCGGAAACUUCACCGCAAUAGCUGUUACCCUCAGAAGAAAUAGUGCACGAGCGAAGCCAAGAGGGUUUGUUGUUGUUGUUUUGUUGUUUUUCAAUGUAGCUUUGAAAAAAAGGACCCAAGACAAAUAAGAAAACUGGGACAUAAAGCCAAGGGAAUCAGCAAGUGGACUACCUUCACACAUCAGACAUUUCAAGGCAGAGCAAAGCUCACUCUGAC
Molecule: long non-coding RNA, 336 nt
Filed under: Mustela putorius furo (domestic ferret)
Lineage: Eukaryota; Metazoa; Chordata; Mammalia; Carnivora; Mustelidae
Description: lncRNA (ENSMPUG00000026369.1)
Source: RNAcentral